UCUUCAUCACCGAAUACAAAUCGACCUUCAACGCGCGCUUCAGUUGCUCCUGGACGAACCAUUCCCGCAUCGGCUCGACCGCCCACCAAGAGGUUGAUUGCUUCAACAAUCAUGGUCUUGCCAGCGCCAGUUUCGCCGGUGAGGGCUACUAGUCCUUCCGACAAUUGCAAGUCGAGUGUGUCGAUCACUCCAAGAUUUUCAAUAUGUAGCUCGGUGAGCACUAUUCGUCUCCCAAACCAAACUUCGCUCGCACGAUUUGGUGAAACUUAGGUUCUUUAAACAAACGAAUGAAUAUCGCCUGACAGGUAUCUGGCGCGUACACCACUAAGUCGUCUUGCGUAAGGCUUGCUACCCCACGACCAUCAAUCGCUAAAUCAACUGGACGAGUUCCCACAACUUUGAUGUGUACUGACUCAUGUGGGUCGAGGACGAGUGAACGAUCAAACAACAUAUGAGGAGACACCGGUGUGAUGAGCAACGCCCGAUGACGCGGUGACACCACAGGACCACGCGCGCUCAUGGAAUACGCCGUACUUCCCGUUGGCGUAGACACGAUGAGCCCGUCUGCCGAAUAGCGUGCGAAAUCUUGGCCAUUGAUGACCAAGUCCAACCAAAUGGUGUGACCCGAUUGAUGCUUUUCAAGCACCGCCUCGUUCAAAGCGCGAUAUGAAACCGAUGCUGAACGAUCGGCCUUGUGCAGGGUGACACUCAGCAUCAUGCGUGCGUCAAUGACAUAGUCCGUUCCAGACACGCCGGAUUCCCACUUGUUCAAUGCAUCAAUCAAUUCUUCAGGAUCAAUUUCGGUGAGGUAACCAAGCGUUCCUACGUUUACGCCAAGAAUUGGCACCGGAGCACCGUCAAGCAUGUGCACCGCGCGCAGCACUGUUCCAUCGCCACCAAGGCUGACCACCAGGUCGGCAUCCAUUGCAUGACGUGGAUUCGCAAGUUCUGGACUACUUAGUGCUUGCGCAUCAAAGUCAUUCAUCCACAAUUCGUGGCCCCGACUUGUUGUCCACUGUCGAAGAUCUGACAGCAAUUCAGGUAUCUCGGCACGUGAAUGAUGCGCGACAACAAAAAUGUUCGCCAUUACCUACCCGAUUCCCAUAUGAUCACGCCUCAAACCUAUACCAGACCAAAUAUUCAACAUUGCCCUCUGCACCGUGAAUCGGCGAUUCGAUGCACCCGCGCACCACCCACCCUUGCUCGGCAAAGGACUCAUUCACUUCCCCGACAACUCGGUCGCGGAUUGCUUGGUCGGCGAUUACCCCUUGGCUCUUAUCCACCUCAAGCUUGGUGGCCUCAAAUUGGGGUUUCACCAACACCACUAGAUUUCCCGACCGUGACAGACGAGCCGUGAGCGCACGACUGACGGAUUUCAAUGAAAUAAACGACAGAUCGACAACCGCCAGAUCGAACUCGCUGCGCAAUGGAAUCGGCAAAUCUUGAGUGUCAUCAGCAAGCUGUCGCACAUUGAAUGUAUCGAUGACGACGACGCGAUUAUUUGUUGCAACUCG
This 1514-nucleotide ribosomal RNA is filed under the name uncultured Actinomycetes bacterium. RNAcentral describes it as "uncultured actinobacterium 16S ribosomal RNA". Lineage: Bacteria; Bacillati; Actinomycetota; Actinomycetes. The record is from RNAcentral.